UACGUAGGGGGCUAGCGUUGUCCGGAAUCAUUGGGCGUAAAGAGCGCGUAGGCGGCCAGAUAAGUCCGGUGUGAAAGUCAAAGGCUCAACCUUUGAAUGCCGCUGGAAACUGUCUGGCUAGAGUCCGGGAGGGGCGAGUGGAAUUCCUGGUGUAGCGGUGAAAUGCGCAGAUAUCAGGAGGAACACCUAUGGCGAAGGCAGCUCGCUGGGACGUGACUGACGCUGAGACGCGAAAGCGUGGGGAGCAAACAGG
RNAcentral lists this ribosomal RNA (253 nucleotides) under uncultured bacterium. Its description in RNAcentral is "partial 16S ribosomal RNA". It matches the Rfam family "Bacterial small subunit ribosomal RNA", at positions 524 to 776 of the family's 1533-position model. The record is from RNAcentral.